UCUUAGUGGCGGACGGGUGAGUAACGCGUGGGUAACCUGCCUUAUACAGGGGGAUAACACUUAGAAAUAGGUGCUAAUACCGCAUAAGCGCACGGGGCUGCAUGGCCCAGUGUGAAAAACUCCGGUGGUAUAAGAUGGACCCGCGUCUGAUUAGCCAGUUGGCGGGGUAACGGCCCACCAAAGCGACGAUCAGUAGCCGGCCUGAGAGGGUGAACGGCCACAUUGGGACUGAGACACGGCCCAAACUCCUACGGGAGGCAGCAG
This 264-nucleotide ribosomal RNA is filed under the name uncultured bacterium. RNAcentral's name for it is "partial 16S ribosomal RNA". It matches the Rfam family "Bacterial small subunit ribosomal RNA", at positions 90 to 354 of the family's 1533-position model. The record is from RNAcentral.